UCUGAACCAGCCAUGCCGCGUGAAGGAUGACGGCCCUCUGGGUUGUAAACUGCUUUUAUAUGGGAAGAAAAAAUGUCACUCGUGAUCACUUGACGGUACCAUAGGAAUAAGCACCGGCUAACUCCGUGCCAGCAGCCGCGGUAAUACGGAGGGUGCAAGCGUUAUCCGGAUUUACUGGGUUUAAAGGGUGCGUAGGCGGGUCUGUAAGUCAGUGGUGAAAUCUCCGAGCUUAACUCGGAAACUGCCAUUGAUACUGUAGGUCUUGAAUUAUCUGGAGGUGAGCGGAAUAUGUCAUGUAGCGGUGAAAUGCUUAGAUAUGACAUAGAACACCAAUUGCGAAGGCAGCUCACUACGSNUUAAUUGACRCUGAGGCACGAAAGCGUGGGGAUCAAACAGGAUUAGAUACCCUGGUAGUCCACGCCCUAAACGAUGGAUACUCGACAUUGGCGAUAUACAGUSUGUGUCUGAGCGAAAGCAUUAAGUAUCCCACCUGGGAAGUACGAUCGCAAGAUUGAAACUCAAAUGAAUUGACGGG
Molecule: ribosomal RNA, 535 nt
Filed under: uncultured Bacteroidota bacterium
Lineage: Bacteria; Pseudomonadati; Bacteroidota
Description: bacterial SSU rRNA
Rfam family: Bacterial small subunit ribosomal RNA
Source: RNAcentral